This 427-nucleotide ribosomal RNA is filed under the name Megathylacus brooksi. Its description in RNAcentral is "partial 16S ribosomal RNA". It matches the Rfam family "Bacterial large subunit ribosomal RNA", at positions 1832 to 2599 of the family's 2925-position model. Lineage: Eukaryota; Metazoa; Platyhelminthes; Cestoda; Proteocephalidea; Proteocephalidae. The record is from RNAcentral.
UGCCAUAUUUUAAUUUUUAUGGUAGUACCUGCUCUAUGUAGAAUACUAUAAAUGGCCGCAGUAUCUUGACUGUGCAAAGGUAGCAUAAUUAAUUGCCUUAUAAUUGAAGGCUUGUCUGAAUGGUUUGACGUGGUAAUUACGAAUAUUUGAUUUUUUGUUGAAAUUGAUAUGGAGGGCACAGAAUCCUCCUUAUUUAAUUAGACGGAAAGACCCCAGGAUCUUUCAUUUUUGUCUGGGGCAGAUGAGAAUUUUUCAUUUUUAUUUUGACCCUUUUUGGUUUAGUGGGCUAAGUUACCCUGGGGAUAACAGUGUAAUAGUUUAUUAGAGGCCUUAUCGAAUGAACUGUUUGCUACCUCGAUGUUGACUUAGGUAUAUAAGCUGGGCGCAGUAGUCUAGCUUUUCGGUCUGUUCGACCGUUGUUACCUCC